UACGGGGGGAGCAAGCGUUGUUCGGAUUUACUGGGCGUAAAGGGCGCGUAGGCGGCCACCGCAAGUCGACUGUGAAAUCUCCGGGCUUAACCCGGAAAGGUCAGCCGAUACUGCGGGGCUAGAGUGCAGAAGGGGCAACUGGAAUUCUCGGUGUAGCGGUGAAAUGCGUAGAUAUCGAGAGGAACACCAGUGGCGAAGGCGAGUCCCUGGACAAAACCUGACACUGAAAAGCGAAAGCCAGGGGAGCAAACGGG
Molecule: ribosomal RNA, 254 nt
Filed under: uncultured bacterium
Lineage: Bacteria
Description: partial 16S ribosomal RNA
Rfam family: Bacterial small subunit ribosomal RNA
Source: RNAcentral